This 465-nucleotide ribosomal RNA is filed under the name uncultured bacterium. Its description in RNAcentral is "partial 16S ribosomal RNA". It matches the Rfam family "Bacterial small subunit ribosomal RNA", at positions 28 to 507 of the family's 1533-position model. The record is from RNAcentral.
GACGAACGCUGGCGGCGUGCUUAACACAUGCAAGUCGAACGGAAAGGCCCUGCUUGCAGGGUACUCGAGUGGCGAACGGGUGAGUAACACGUGGGUGAUCUGCCCUGCACUUCGGGAUAAGCCUGGGAAACUGGGUCUAAUACCGGAUAGGAGCCAUUUUUAGUGUGAUGGUUGGAAAGUUUUUUCGGUGUAGGAUGAGCUCGCGGCCUAUCAGCUUGUUGGUGGGGUAAUGGCCUACCAAGGCGGCGACGUGUAGCCGGCCUGAGAGGGUGGACGGCCACAUUGGGACUGAGAUAAGGCCCAGACUCCUACGGGAGGAAGCAGUGGGGAAUAUUGCACAAUGGGCGCAAGCCUGAUGCAGCGACGCCGCGUGGGGGAUGACGGCCUUCGGGUUGUAAACUCCUAUCGCUAGGGACGAAGCUUUUUGUGACGGUACCUAGAGAAGAAGCACCGGCUAACUACGUG